UCCACCGCGAGGUGGAAUCUGAAGGAAGCUGGCGGCAAAGUCCCGGCCUGACGAACAGAAACUGCAUAUUAGGCCUAAAUGGACCGGAUGAGAUUGCCAAACAAAUCGAAGUCCGAUACUGUCCGGGGUUCACAACAAGGUAGAUGCAGCAGGUAUAUGGGAUGAAAGUCAUUACU
Non-coding RNA from Sphingobacterium sp. 21, 176 nucleotides. NCBI's taxonomy places the organism in Bacteria, Pseudomonadati, Bacteroidota, Sphingobacteriia, Sphingobacteriales, Sphingobacteriaceae. The record is from Rfam.